AUUGCUUCUCGGCCUUUUGGCUAAGAUCAAGAGUAGUAUCACUUUAUAUUUUAAAGAGACUAUUUUAUGAAGUAAGUUUUUAUACUAUAUAUAGUUUCACCUGUAUUCUACUAAAUGUUGAGAUCCAGUUUUGCUUUUAGGUAUCAUU
This 148-nucleotide small nuclear RNA is filed under the name Zalophus californianus (California sea lion). Its description in RNAcentral is "U2 spliceosomal RNA (ENSZCAG00015005946.1)". It matches the Rfam family "U2 spliceosomal RNA". From Rfam's summary of the family: U2 is a small nuclear RNA (snRNA) component of the spliceosome (involved in pre-mRNA splicing). Lineage: Eukaryota; Metazoa; Chordata; Mammalia; Carnivora; Otariidae. RNAcentral also lists the same sequence under 1 other name. The record is from RNAcentral.